RNAcentral lists this ribosomal RNA (300 nucleotides) under uncultured Oleiphilaceae bacterium. RNAcentral's name for it is "bacterial SSU rRNA". It matches the Rfam family "Bacterial small subunit ribosomal RNA", at positions 113 to 409 of the family's 1533-position model. The record is from RNAcentral. Lineage: Bacteria; Pseudomonadati; Pseudomonadota; Gammaproteobacteria; Oceanospirillales; Oleiphilaceae.
ACGGCGUAGAAAACUGCCCAGGUAGUGGGGGAUAGCCCAGAGAAAUUUGGAUUAAUACCGCAUACGCCCUACGGGGGUAAAGGGGGCGUUCGGCCUCUCGCUAUUGGAUGUGUCUCGACGGUGGGAUUAGCUAGUUGGUGAGGUAAGGGCUCACCAAGGCGACGAUCCCUAGCUGGUCUGAGGAGGAUGAUCCAGCCACGACUGGAACUGAGACACGGGUCCAGACUCCUACGGGAGGCAGCAGUGGGGAAUAUUGCACGAAUGGGCGAAAGCCUGAUGCAGCCAUGCCGCGUGUGUGAA